CAGAGCACAGAUGUGGUUUCAAUCAGACAGUGUACUGUAUGAAUUCAUACAUAUCCAUUAUUAGUGCUUUAAACUCACUUCAAGCAACAGUUCUUCAGUGAGAAACUUUUAGUCCUAUAGCAAUCUAUUUACACCUUUUUUUUUUUUUUUGACAGAAUCUCGCUAUUGUCACCCAGGCUGGAGUGCAGUGGCGCAAUCUAGGCUUACUGCAACCUCUGCCUCCCAGGUUUGAGCAAUUCUUCUGCCUCAGCCAAGUAGCUGGGAUUACAGAGGUCUGCCACCAUGCCCGGCGAAUAUCUGUAUUUUUCAUAGAGAUGGGGGUUUCACCAUAUUGGCCAGGCUGGUCUCGAAUAUCUGACCUCAGGUAAUCUGCCUGCCUCCACCUCUGAAAGUGUAUGGAUUACAGGCAUGAGUCAACUGCACCCGGCCCUGAUUCCACAUAUUUCUGUGUCCUACAUGGCAGUGGUCAUCUUUCUCCGUUACAAGGGAACAAUAUCAUGACGGAAUUGGGUGGAACAACCCUUUAAGAAAACCGUAAAGUUGUUGAGGAGUGCUGCAACAACUCAAAUUUGAAGAAGGAAGCAAUGCAUUGACCUCGGGACUUCCCGUCACCCAUCCUCCAUGGAUGGCAAUGGUAAUGAGAACAAAGAAGAGGAGAGGAAAGAACCUGAAGUGAAUCAGUGCAGUUAAAUACCUCAAGAAGAAGGCUACCAUCGCAGGGUAGGUUGAAGCCUGACAGAAAGGCUGUGGUGGAAAGUGCUACAGACCCCCAGGUGGAAAUCAGACAGACAUGAGUGAGAUGAGUUUUCCAGAGACAACCUAAGUGAAAUAUUUAAGUAGAUGACAGGAUCUUGUUGUUAAUGUGAGUUUUCUCUCAACUCUCUGAACAUUAACUUCACCCUAAAAGACUUCACUAUUUUCCAAAAAAAAAAAGAACCUGAAAAUUGGUAAUUUCCUUAUUUUUUGUUCCUAUGACAUGUUUUAAAAUAAAAUAAGGCCAAUUUUGUUUCACAUGAAUUUUUAUUAUUUAUGAUUAGAAGAACAAAGAAUAUAUAUAUUAAUUGUAUAUAUAUGAAUAUAUAUGGCUAGAACCCCCUCUCCAACCCCAUCCUUGUAAACAUUUGUGCCCCUGAAUUUAUCUACAAUCUUGUAUUUUAAACUUUUGUAUAAAUCUAUCAUUCCAUUAGAAAGUAAACUAUUAGAAAACAAAAAAACAUAUGUAUAUAUACAUACAGACCCAUACAUAUUAUAUCUAAAUAUAUAAUUGUAUAUAUA
Molecule: long non-coding RNA, 1275 nt
Filed under: Homo sapiens (human)
Lineage: Eukaryota; Metazoa; Chordata; Mammalia; Primates; Hominidae
Description: HSALNT0147831
Source: RNAcentral